CGGAACGCAAGCGGCUGCUGCUCCCACCCCAAAUACCACAUUUAUGCCGGGUUUGUGUUUCUUGUUUUCGGUCUCUUUGUUUCCCUCUUCUUAUCACUCGUUUCAUCCACUCUUUCUACCGUCUUUUUGGGGCCGGCGAUAACACGCGCCGGUAAAUCGUAUUGCGCGUCAACAACACCAUCGGGAGCGCCGGUGGUACGGGAAGGAACAAAACAAAACAAAACAAAAAAGGUCUUUGGUUUCACCACACUUCAUCAACAUCCGUGGUGUAGGAUGUCCAGCCGGGCCAACAGGCAAAAGUUUUCCUUCCAUAACGAGCUACGAUGGAGUUGCCUGGUAGUUAACGCGAUAGUGAGACGAGCGCGUGAGAUGAGCGCGUGAGCGUGAGCUGUAGCCGCUCGCUGCGUGAGAUGCUCUAUCGCGUGAGAGAUGGCGUAACUUCAGGCGUUAAAAAAGUCAUCGAACGGGGGGU
Anopheles stephensi (Asian malaria mosquito) is the source of this 472-nucleotide long non-coding RNA. RefSeq lists it as uncharacterized. The record is from RefSeq and is a predicted model, not a curated record. NCBI's taxonomy places the organism in Eukaryota, Metazoa, Arthropoda, Insecta, Diptera, Culicidae. The transcript is spliced from 2 exons.